AAGCUGUCGCCGGGCGGGGACCCUAUUCCCUGCAGUGUAGGUGGCCUCGGGCCCUCCUCUGAGAAAGUGCUCAGGGGCGUGGCGCUGGCAGGUGAGGAGUCCAGGUGCACCACAACUGCAUUUGCGCUUCUUCAAAGGAAAUAUGUUGUGCUUUGCCUGAGAGUGUGGCUAUUUGUUUUAUUUGAUUGUUACACUUUCCUGAAUUAUGUUUAUGGAAAGCUGAAUAAUGAUCCCCCAAGAUGUCUGUUUUCUAACCUUGAGGACCUGUGACUAUUUCCUUCUAUGAGAAGAGGAAGAAAUCAAUGAACAGAGGAAAGCAGAACUGAAAAAGGAGCCAGUCGGAUGAUGGAAAAGAAAGCAAAAAGCCUGGAUUCUAGAACUCUCGGACACAAAAGCAAGAGCUUUUCCUUUUGCAUAAGAUAUUUUGAGAGAUGCUUCACCCACUUUUCCCCAAAGGUCCUGAAUAAUACUCUUAAACCUCGGGUUGUUACAGUUCACAUAUGGGGUACAGUUAGUUGAUGGGAUGACAGUUUGAAUUUCACUUUAAAAAUCUAUGAUGCAGUUUGAAGGAGUAGUGAAUUGACUUUGAUUAAACCAGUUAUUUUAGUAAAGACUGUUCUUUGACAUCAUCUUGACUUCAUAGGUUUUACAAAUCCCAACUUGAAACAAUGGAAGGAUCUAUCAGGCAAUUCUUUUAUCAAUUGAUGGUAUGUAGAUGAAAUUUGAUAUGUUUUUCCCAUCCCAGGAAACCUCUGUUUUGCCACUUCCUAACCAAAUGGCCUUGAGCAUGUAAUUGAGUUCUUUUAUCUAUAAUCUGCAAACUAACAAUAAUCACCCUGUAAGGUUAUUAGGAUUAGAGAUGUUCUUGGAGGUCUUAGACAACUAAAAGGCUUAUAAUAAACUAUGUUCUUAUUUAUGGAAAUAGCUAACAUUUAAUGAAUACUUAUUAUGUGCCAGACACUGUGCUAGAGAUGUUAUUCAACAUCUCAUUUAAUCUUCAGAAUGAGUUUUUGAAAUGAUAAUUAUAAAUAUCCCCAUUUUAGAGAUGAGAAACCUGAGGCUAAGAGAAGGUAACUUGCUCAAGGGACUGUAGAUAGGAAGAGUCCGACUAUAAUAAAAAUCUAGGUAGGUCUGAUUGCAGAAGUAGUCUUUAUAGCUCCUCUCCAGAGUUCCUCUGUGGAUGGUGAUGAGCCCUUGUCAUUAUAAUUAUUAUUAAUGCCUGUGUUUUUAUUGGUGUUGUUUUAAGUCUUGAGGUCUCUUACAAAAUGCAGAGACUGUGACAGAAUUCUUAAGGAGGAGUGGGCUUUUCUUAUCUGGGAUUUUCAUUUCACACUGUGCUUUAUGAAACGACAUAACCAAGAAACAUCUCUCUGGUGGUUUAUAUUA
Ictidomys tridecemlineatus (thirteen-lined ground squirrel) is the source of this 1386-nucleotide long non-coding RNA. RefSeq lists it as uncharacterized. Lineage: Eukaryota; Metazoa; Chordata; Mammalia; Rodentia; Sciuridae. The record is from RefSeq and is a predicted model, not a curated record.